GCUUCUGCAAUUUGAAGGCUUGAAAUCGUAUAUAUAGCUUCCUCCUGGGAUGGAAGAAAAGACAAUAUGAUGAUUGAAUAGAGAAUAUUGAGUUUCUUUUACAAAAGAAAAAAAAAUUACAGGUGAUGCAUUGGAAAGCUGGCCGGAUAAUCUUACUGCCGAAGUCCGAAACGUGGCUUUUAGGCUUUACCUUUUCAGCAGUUCUGACGAGCGCCUUUGCAGAUCAUAGGAGAAUGAAGGCAGAGGGAUUGAAUUUUCUGAAUGUUGCCAUCUCUGUGGACAACUCUUUUUAUAGAAGAAGAUCCAAUCAGACAAAAGACAGAACGGCUGGCAAUGCAUCCCGUCAAAUCUGCUCUUACUAUACAAGCAAUAUGCAUAUGAUUCUAGUUCUGCAAUCCUACCACAGGUAUUCAAAUUGGGCUAAUUCAAAUUUCAUGAUGCCCUUUUCGGCCCUAGCAAAUAUUAAAGCUGUUCAAAAUUGCCUUCCACAAAAC
Molecule: long non-coding RNA, 494 nt
Filed under: Vitis vinifera (wine grape)
Lineage: Eukaryota; Viridiplantae; Streptophyta; Magnoliopsida; Vitales; Vitaceae
Description: long non-coding RNA (VVIN_LNC002143)
Source: RNAcentral